This 443-nucleotide ribosomal RNA is filed under the name uncultured bacterium. Its description in RNAcentral is "partial 16S ribosomal RNA". It matches the Rfam family "Bacterial small subunit ribosomal RNA", at positions 338 to 795 of the family's 1533-position model. The record is from RNAcentral.
CCUACGGGUGGCAGCAGUGGGGAAUAUUGGGCAAUGGGCGCAAGCCUGACCCAGCAACGCCGCGUGCAGGAAGAAGGCUUUCGGGUUGUAAACUUCUUUUCUGAGGGACGAAGAAAGUGAUGGUACCUCAGGAAUAAGCCACGGCUAACUACGUGCCAGCAGCCGCGGUAAUACGUAGGUCGCAAGCGUUAUCCGGAUUUAUUGGGUGUAAAGGGCGUGUAGGCGGGAAAGCAAGUCAGAUGUGAAAACUCAGGGCUCAACCCUGAGCCUGCAUUUGAAACUGUUUUGCUUGAGUGCUGGAGAGGCAAUCGGAAUUCCGUGUGUAGCGGUGAAAUGCGUAGAUAUACGAAGGAACACCAGUGGCGAAGGCAGAUUGCUGGACAGUAACUGACGCUGAGGCGCGAAAGCGUGGGGAGCAAACAGGAUUAGAUACCCUUGUAGUC